This 275-nucleotide ribosomal RNA is filed under the name uncultured prokaryote. Its description in RNAcentral is "partial 16S ribosomal RNA". It matches the Rfam family "Bacterial small subunit ribosomal RNA", at positions 524 to 798 of the family's 1533-position model. The record is from RNAcentral.
UACGGAGGAUCCGAGCGUUAUCCGGAUUUAUUGGGUUUAAAGGGUGCGCAGGCGGGAGAUUAAGUCGGCGGUGAAAUUUUGCAGCUCAACUGUAAAAGUGCCUUCGAAACUGGUUUCCUUGAGUGUAGAUGAAGUAGGCGGAAUUUGUGGUGUAGCGGUGAAAUGCAUAGAUAUCACGAGGAACUCCGAUUGCGCAGGCAGCUUACUAAACUACUACUGACGCUCAGGCACGAGGGCGUGGGGAUCAAACAGGAUUAGAUACCCCGGUAGUCCCU